Molecule: ribosomal RNA, 256 nt
Filed under: uncultured Gardnerella sp.
Lineage: Bacteria; Bacillati; Actinomycetota; Actinomycetes; Bifidobacteriales; Bifidobacteriaceae
Description: partial 16S ribosomal RNA
Rfam family: Bacterial small subunit ribosomal RNA
Source: RNAcentral
CUAACGGGUGAGUAAUGCGUGACCAACCUGCCCCAUGCUCCAGAAUAGCUCUUGGAAACGGGUGGUAAUGCUGGAUGCUCCAACUUGACGCAUGUCUUGUUGGGAAAGUGUUUAGUGGCAUGGGAUGGGGUCGCGUCCUAUCAGCUUGUAGGCGGGGUAAUGGCCCACCUAGGCUUCGACGGGUAGCCGGCCUGAGAGGGCGGACGGCCACAUUGGGACUGAGAUACGGCCCAGACUCCUACGGGAGGCAGCAGUG